AAGAACCAGUCUCAAAAAUAAGAAAGAUGGCUCCCGAGGGACAGCACCCGCAGUUGACUGGCAUCUGUAUGUACCCACAUACAUAAACACACACAUGAAAGUGGGACACAGGAAGGUCCUUUCGAUUUCAUUUUGCGGAUCAUGCCAUCUGGCGCAUCUCCAGAUUCAUAAUUGCGAUGCCUACUGGCCAUGUUUACUUGCUGGACUUGACUCUCAGGCUCCCGUCUCUGUAUGUGCUAAGCUGUUAGCUCUCUCCUUCUUCUCACCUCUCCUCCUCUACCUCACAAAUCUCAGGGCUGCAAACCUGAGAGUGUCAAGUGUAGCUGUAGAGCACUGGGUGGGAAGACAGCAUCUUAACUUCCAAACUUAGGCUAGUGUUUCCUUUUUCUUUUCUUUCUUUCUUUUUCUUAUUUUUGUUGGUUUUUUUGUUUGUUUGUUUGUUUGGUUUUUGUUUUGUUUUUGUUUUUUUGAGGCAGGGUUUCCCUGUAUAGCCCUGACUGUCCUGGAACUCACUCUUUUGACUAGACUGUCCUUAAACUCAGAAAUCCACCUGCCUCUGCCUGCCAUGUGCUGGGAUCAAAGGUGUGCGCCACCACUGCCUGCCAUUUCCUUUUGAGAAAGCUGAAUGAACGAGCUUGUCUCACUGCCGGGCCUGCAGAUUUGGGUAGAAAGCACAAUCAACUGUGGCCAAAUCAAAUCUCUGUUCACAGAACACAAAGUUUCACAUCGGGAGGCAGGAUUGUCUCUAGUGACGUGGCUUUGACCACACCUACUAUACCACAGAGCAGAAAGAGAGGUUAAUUUGACCCUUAACUAGACAGGGACCAGAUCGUAUUCAAGCUUACAUGUUGCUUCUUACAUUGUGACUGUAAUUCUUCUCUAUGGAUCUGCUGGCAGGACUAUUGAUUAGACACAGGAGGCAGAUGGAUUGUACCCAGUUGGGGUCAUAUUUCAUACCCCGUUUAUAACAUAUUACUAUUUUACACGUUACAGGGUUUCAGUCUGAAGAGUUUUGGUGUGUGUGUUGUUUUUGUUUGUUUGUUUGUUUGUUUUUUGUAGACUCUGGGUAAAAAAAAUAUUAUAUGCAGAUACCUGGGGGAGAGAAUAUUUUUGUGAUUUUGAAUUUGCUUUUAAGUGAAAAUACAUGUGUGUCUGUGUGUGUGUUGUAUAUGUGUGCGUUUCAGUGUUGGUACACCUGGGUGCAUAUGGAGGCCAAAAGUUGGCAUCAGGUGCCUUCCCUAACCUCUCUCCAUCUUACUAGUUGAAAUAAGAUCUCUCACAGGAUCUGGAGUUCACUGUAGGCUGGCUAUCCAAAGGAGUCCCAGGGAGCUGCAUGUCUCUGCCUCCUUGGUGCUGGGGUUACAGAUGUUUCAAUGCCACCUGGCUUUCUGUGUGCAUGCUGGGAAUCCGAACUCAGCUCCUCGCUGGUGUGGUGACCACUUUACUACCCGAGCCAUGUCCCAGCCCUUGCUUUCACUUUUAAGCUACUCAUUUCAACCACACUCUGUCUUCUCACUCCCGGAAUGGCGCCGACCUUGGACAGGACAUUAUAGAUGGAUCUCAGAUUUUGUGUAAGUGUUCCAAGAAGCACGGGUGAGCUAGAUACAGCACAGGUGAUUUCAAAGAAGAUCUGACAUGGGAAUUGCAAGAGGAUGUGGUGGGUUGUGUUUGCUGUGGGUUUUUUUCCUCUCCCUUGCAGUCCUUUCACUUUCUGGGGAUGCUGCUAAGAGCAGAGACAGUAAACUGCACUGGUAAAAUCUGACAGAUUACUUCAGAACUGGGGGCAAAUAGAGGGAGCCACCCUACAGUCUCCUUUUGACGUUCUAUUCUAAUUUCAUGUUUGUCUCAUUUUACAACUCUCCCCAUCACCUCCUGCCUCCAAGUUUUUCUAUACUUGGAAGGAGUGCUUUUCCAGAAAGCAUGGGUUUAGGCGAUGUGUUUAGAGAGGUAGCAGAGAGGUCUGAGAGUUGUUAGGGGGUAAAGACAGAUCCAGGGUUAUAUGAACUGUCUCUAAGUUCACUGCAGAAAGUUUGCCUAAAGGGGCUUUGUUGCUUAUUUCUGAAGAAGGAGGAGGAGGAGGAAGAGGAAGAAGAAGAGGAGGAGGAGGAGGAGGAGGAGGAGGAGGAGGAGGAGGAGGAGGACAGUUGGAGAGAUGGCUCAGUGGUUAAGAGCACUAACUGCUCUUCCAGAGGUCCAGAGUUCAACUAGCAACCACAUGGUGUCUCAUAACCAUCCAAUGGAGUCUGAUGCCCUCUUCUGGUGUGUUUGAAGACAGCUACAGUGUACUCAUAUACAUAAAAUAAAUAGAUUAUUUUUUUUUCGAGACAGGGUUUCUCUGUAUAGCCCUGGCUGUCCUGGAACUCACUCUGUAGACCAGGAUGGCUUUGCACUUGGAAAUCUGCCUGCCUCUGCCUCCCAAAUGCUGGGAUAAAAGGCGUGCGCCACCACUGCCCAGCAAAUAAAUAAUUCUU
This 2471-nucleotide long non-coding RNA is filed under the name Mus musculus (house mouse). Its description in RNAcentral is "long non-coding RNA chr2:10342043-10344514". Lineage: Eukaryota; Metazoa; Chordata; Mammalia; Rodentia; Muridae. The record is from RNAcentral.